UGAUAUGUUUGCUAUGUUAGGU
Molecule: microRNA, 22 nt
Filed under: Callorhinchus milii (elephant shark)
Lineage: Eukaryota; Metazoa; Chordata; Chondrichthyes; Chimaeriformes; Callorhinchidae
Description: eshark_mir-190_2
Source: RNAcentral